This 131-nucleotide ribosomal RNA is filed under the name Salvator merianae (Argentine black and white tegu). Lineage: Eukaryota; Metazoa; Chordata; Lepidosauria; Squamata; Teiidae. The record is from RNAcentral.
CUAUGCUGAGACAUGGCUCUGUAGACAGAAGGACCAAUCCAAACCUUGGUGGAUCUCAGAAAGCUAAGCAGUGUUGGGCCUAGUUAGCAUUGGAUGGGUGUCCACUAGAAAGUUUUGGGCUGCAGGCUAAA